Long non-coding RNA from Oncorhynchus tshawytscha (Chinook salmon), 2956 nucleotides. The record is from Ensembl. Lineage: Eukaryota; Metazoa; Chordata; Actinopteri; Salmoniformes; Salmonidae.
UUGUGUUGGUCAUUUUAACAAGUAAAACUUUAUUGUACUGAUACUCAAGUUGCAAAAUAUGACACUUUGUGUUUUAUUGUUUUUCUUUUCAUGUGGUGGUAUUAGACAGGGUCUUUAAACACCUCCCUUUGGAGUGCUGAGGAUCCUAUAGGGCUGCUGCAGCCCCCAACUUUCCCCAAAUUAUCACUUUUCCCAGAAAUCCUGGUGGAAGGAGUCCCGGAGUUCCUGCUUAUUCCCCUCAUAUUCCCAGGAAUCUUCCAGCCAGGAUUUGUGUAAAACCAGGGAAUUAAGAAUUGUGUGAUCCCAGUCAUAUGGUUUAAAAAGACUACAGGCCUUAUGUAUUUUCCUAGAAAGUGCAACAGUAUGUAUAUAGUACAUAUAUAUACACCAGCAUUGUGCCUGUCCACGGCUGAGAGGAGGAUGGCCUAGAAAUACAUUGAGGAGACUGUGAAGGAGGGGAUAAACAGCGGUCCACGGGUUGCGUCCCAAAUGGAACACUGUGCCCUACUUUGUGCACUACUCUUGGCCAGAGAGCUCUAUAGGCCUGGGUCAAAAGUAGUGCACUAAGUAGGGAAUAUGGUGCCAUUUGGGACAUGCCCUAUGAUAUUAGGCGACGGAACACGACAUUAAAGAGUAGAAGAGAAUAUGGAAUUGUAUUCAAAGGAGAAGAGUGUUAAGACAAUGUAAUUAUAAUAAUAAUAGUAAUAAUGACAAUAUAAUGUUAUUUUCAAACCUGGACAACGGAGUCAGAGCAUGUAAUGACACCUUUCUAAUAGAAGAUGUUAAAUGAGUUGUGAUGUGUUUAACGUGAGAAUGAGUAAACUACGAGGCUGGAUUUGACAGAAGGAAUGCAGGUCAUUAAGAAGACAGAACAUGAACUGGUUCCACGACGCUCAGUUGAUAAGAGCAUCACGACACGAGAGGUUCCCGCUGGGCACACCCAGACAACAGAACCCCUGACCGUCGCGUUGGAAAGAAGUAUCUGCUAUGUGCCUUAUUAUUAUUAUUAUUAUUCAUCUGAAUGGAACUAGUGUCAAGACAGAAGUGUACAGUUGAGUGUAUGUAUUAACACAAGGACAGGAAGAACACACCACACUGGAAACAAUAAGAUCAAGACCUUCUGUAGCUUCCUCGAGCUUGGUCCACCGGGGGGGAUGACGACACACGCCAAGGGGGUAGGAGAGGGGGAGGGUGGGGAGGUGAGUGCAGAGUGUUGUGCGUUUGUCCCAAAUGGCACCCUAUUCCCUUUAGAGUGCACUACUUUUGACCAGAGCCCAUAGGGUUCUGGUCGAAAGUAGUGCACUAUUUAGGGAACAGGGGUCCAUUCAGAACAAAUACCAGUAUGUGUGGAGCAAUAUGCUAGCCUAGUACAUAGGAGACAGUUGUUACAGAGACAGGCGCCUGUCCCAAUAUGGUAGUUAGGAGACAGUUGUUACAGAGACAGGCGCCUGUCCCAAUAUGGUAGUUAGGAGACAGUUGUUACAGAUAAUGGCCCUGUCCCAAUAUGGUAGUUAGGAGACAGUUGUUACAGAGACAGGUGCCUGUCCCAAUAUGGUAGUUAGGAGACAGUUGUUACAGAGACAGAUGCCUGUCCCAAUAUGGUAGUUAGGAGACAGUUGUUACAGAGAAUUGCCCUGUCCCAAUAUGGUAGUUAGGGGACAGUUGUAAAGGGGAUGUCCCUGUCCCAAUAUGGUAGUUAGGAGACAGUUGUUUCGGAGACAGGUGCCUGUCCCAAUAUGGUAGUUAGGAGACAGUUGUUACAGAGACAGGUGCCUGUCCCAACAUGCUAGUUAGGAGACAGUUGCUACAGAGAAUUUCCCUGUCCCAAUAUGGUACUUAGGAGACAGUUGUUACAGAGAAUGGCCCUGUCCCAAUAUGGUAGUUAGGAGACAGUUGUUACAGAGAAAGGCCCUGUCCCAAUAUGGUAGUUAGGAGACAGUUGUUACAGAGAACGGCCCUGUCCCAAUAUGGUAGUUAGGAGACAGUUGUUACAGAGACAGGUGCCUGUCCCAAUAUGGUAGUUAGGAGACAGUUGUUACAGAGACAGAUGCCUGUCCCAAUAUGGUAGUUAGGAGACAGUUGUUACAGAGAAUGGCCCUGUCCCAAUAUGGUAGUUAGGAGACAGUUGUUACAGAGACAGGUGCCUGUCCCAAUAUGGUAGUUAGGAGACAGUUGUUACAGAGAAUGCCCUGUCCCAAUAUGGUACUUAGGAGACGGUUGUUACAGAGAAUGGCCCUGUCCCAAUAUGGUAGUUAGGAGACAGUUGUUACAGAUAACUGCCCUGUCCCAAUAUGGUAGUUAGGAGACAGUUGUUACAGAUAAUUGCCCUGUCCCAAUAUGGUAGUUAGGAGACAGUUGUUACAGAGAAUGCCCUGUCCCAAUAUGGUAGUUAGGAGACAGUUGUUACAGAGACAGGUGCCUGUCCCAAUAUGGUAGUUAGGAGACAGUUGUUACAGAGAAUGGCCCUGUCCCAAUAUGGUAGUUAGGAGACAGUUGUUACAGAGAAUUGCCCUGUCCCAAUAUGGUAGUUAGGAGACAGUUGUUACAGAGACAGGUGCCUGUCCCAAUAUGGUAGUUAGGAGACAGUUGUUACAGAGAAUUUCCCUGUCCCAAUAUGGUAGUUAGGAGACAGUUGUUACAGAGACAGGUGCCUGUCCCAAUAUGGUAGUUAGGAGACAGUUGUUACAGAGAAUGGCCCUGUCCCAAUAUGGUAGUUAGGAGACAGUUGUUACAGAUAAUGGCCCUGUCCCAAUAUGGUAGUUAGGAGACAGUUGUUACAGAGACAGGUGCCUGUCCCAAUAUGGUAGUUAGGAGACAGUUGUUACAGAGAAUGGCCCUGUCCCAAUAUGGUAGUUAGGAGACAGUUGUUACAGAGAAAGGCCCUGUCCCAAUAUGGUAGUUAGGGGACAUUUGUUACAGAGAAUGGCCCUGUCCCAAUAUGGUAGUUAGGAGGCAG